RNAcentral lists this ribosomal RNA (465 nucleotides) under uncultured beta proteobacterium. RNAcentral describes it as "partial 16S ribosomal RNA". The record is from RNAcentral. Lineage: Bacteria; Pseudomonadati; Pseudomonadota; Betaproteobacteria.
GACUACAGGGGUAUCUAAGCCUGUUUGCUCCCCACGCUUUCGUGCAUGAGCGUCAGUAUCGACCCAGGGGGCUGCCUUCGCCAUCGGUAUUCCUCCACAUAUCUACGCAUUUCACUGCUACACGUGGAAUUCUACCCCCCUCUGCCGUACUCUAGCCUUGCAGUUACAAAUGCAGUUCCCAGGUUAAGCCCGGGGAUUUCACAUCUGUCUUACAAAACCGCCUGCGCACGCUUUACGCCCAGUAAUUCCGAUUAACGCUCGCACCCUACGUAUUACCGCGGCUGCUGGCACGUAGUUAGCCGGUGCUUCUUCUUCCGGUACCGUCAUCCACACAGGGUAUUAUCCCGUGCGUUUUCUUUCCGGCUGAAAGAGCUUUACAACCCGAAGGCCUUCUUCACUCACGCGGCAUGGCUGGAUCAGGCUUGCGCCCAUUGUCCAAAAUUCCCCACUGCAGCCACCCGUAGG